AACUUUUACUUUGCGCCAGCAGUAAGCAGCACUUCUUUGAAAAGUUGUAGAUUCAACGAUUGUGGUCAUUCUCACAAGUUUUGCGUUAUUUCCACGCGCAGGAAGUCAAACUUAAUGUGUGUAUCUUUAUCUAAUAAAGCGAGAAAUUGUUUUGGCUUUUCAAAUCUGCUGCAGUGUUAAAAAUGGCUAUAAAUAUGGUCAUAGGGUAUUGUAUGGUAUCAGGUUCUAAAAAUUUUUACAUGUUUUAGUACGUGGGGCUGAUAAUAAGGCGUUAAAAGAAAGACUGCUUGAGUCUG
Molecule: long non-coding RNA, 296 nt
Organism: Zophobas morio
Lineage: Eukaryota; Metazoa; Arthropoda; Insecta; Coleoptera; Tenebrionidae
Exons: 3
Source: RefSeq, a predicted model, not a curated record